This is an RNA transcript of Elephantulus edwardii (Cape elephant shrew), 5013 nucleotides long. It is a transcript of the gene named KIAA0922 ortholog, with no coding region annotated. The transcript has 35 exons. The record is from RefSeq and is a predicted model, not a curated record. NCBI's taxonomy places the organism in Eukaryota, Metazoa, Chordata, Mammalia, Macroscelidea, Macroscelididae.
CGAACGGCGAGCGCUGCGAGCACCCGAGAGGAGCGCGAGCACCAGCAUGGCGGGGCUCCGACGCCCGCAGCCCGGCUGCUACUGCCGCACCGCCGCGGCCGUGAAUCUCCUUUUGGGCGUCUUCCAGGUUCUUCUGCCCUGCUGUCGCCCGGGAGGGGCUCAGGGACAAGCGAUUGAGCCCUUACCGAAUGUGGUGGAGCUGUGGCAAGCAGAAGAAGGGGAACUCCUGCUACCCACUCAGGGUGAUUCUGAAGAAGAUAUGGAGGAGCAGUCUCAAGAACAGAGCUUCUCAGACAAACUCUUCAGUGGAAAGGGCUUGCAUUUUCAGCCAUCAGUUCUAGAUUUUGGAGUGCAGUUCCUGGGGCAUCCAGCAGCAAAGGUCCUUUAUGCUUACAACCCCAGUACGGAGAGCGAGGUUGUGGUGAAUUCCGUGUUUACGUCUGCUAGACAUUUUCAUGUGCCUCGUGUUCACUGCAGGGUAAUUCCUGCAAUGGGAAAAACUUCUUUUAGAAUCAUUUUCUUACCUACUGAAGAAGGAAACAUUGAAAGUUCUUUAUUUAUUAAUACCUCUUCACAUGGGGUCCUUUCCUAUCAUGUGUCUGGAAUUGGCACACGCAGACUUUCUGCUGAAGAGUCCGCAAAGCCACUACCCAAUGCUUACUUCCUGCUCCCACAGGUUCAGAGCAUUCAGCUUUCACAAACACAGGCAGAAACCACUAAUACUAGCCUCUUGCAGGUGCAACUGGAAUGCAGUUUACAUAAUAAAGUGUGUCAACAAUUAAAGAGUUGUUAUCUGGAAUCGGAUGAUGUUUUACGGCUACAAAUGAGUAUAAUUGUAUCAAAAGACAGCUCCUCAAAAGAAUUUGAAGAGAAUACACAAGAUUUGUUAGAUCAUCUCUCUAUAGUUUGUGUAGCUACAGAUAAAUCUGAAACCUCAGAUGAUUCUGCAAUUAAUAUGUACAUAUUACAUUCAGGAAACAGCCUUAUAUGGAUACAGGAUGUACAUCAUUUCUCACCGAGAGAUGCUCUGUCUCUGAAGUUUGAACCAGUAUUGCUGCCUAUGUCUACCACAAACUUUACAAAAAUUGCCUCUUUUACUUGCAAAGCUACAUCAUGUGAUGAGGGAAUUAAUUAUAUAGAAGAUGUGAAGAAAACAAAAAACACUCCAACACUAAAAGCAUGCCUGUCCUCUCCUGUGGUUCCAGGGUAUUUUAGAAUGGACUCUGCUGCAGCCCAGUUCCACAUAGAGACUCAGGAGCCCUCGUCAGGAGUCUGGUCCAUGUGGUAUCUCAACCAUUUUGACCGGAGUAUUGUGCUAACGGAAGUGUUUGUUUCCAAGGAGACCAAGCGCAUUUUAAAGAUUCUGAAUUUCACUGGCCCUUUAUUUCUACCUCCAGGCUGUUGGAAUAUAUUUUCUUUGAAACUUGCUGUUAAAGACAUUGCCAUAAAUCUAUUCACCAAUGUAUUUUUGACUACAAACAUAGGUGCCAUUUUUGCAAUACCUCUGCAGAUUUACUCAGCACCCACCAAGGAAGGGAGUCUGGGUUUUGAAGUGAUAGCACAUUGUGGCAUGCAUUAUUUCAUGGGAAAGUCAAAAGCAGAAAUCCCUAAUUGGCAAAGGAGCCUUUCUCUGGAUCAGUCUACCUGGGACAUGGAUUCAGAACUUGGAAAUAAAUUGUAUGAAAGAUGGAAAAAAUUAAAAAAUGGUGAUGUUUGCAAGAGAAACGCUUUAGGAACGACUAGGUUUGCCCACGUGAAGAAAUCCAAGGAGCCUGAAUCCUUUGCAUUCUUUCUGCCCCGGUUGGUGGCAGAGCCUGGCCUCAUGUUAAACUUCAGUGCAACUUCCCUGAGGAACAGGGUGGUGAAGUACUUUGUGGUGAAGAACCCAUCCUCGUUGCCUGUCUCUCUGCAGCUCCUGCCUGUCUCCUCGUAUCCCAGACCCGAAGCUGCCAUGCGCCUCCUGCACAAAUGGUUUGGAACUGAUAUGCAGAUGAUUAAUUUCACAACGAGUGAAUUUCAGCUCACCAAAGCUUGCCCUUACCGGGGUGCGCGUUCUGAGGAAUCCAGGUUUGGCAUCCUCCACUUGCAUUUGCAGCCAUUAGAGGGGAGAAGGGUCGGUGUAGUUUUCACACCAGUUGACUAUGGGAAAGUGACCUCACUCAUACUCAUCAGGAAUAACCUAACUGUUCUUGACCUGAUUGGUGUGGAAGGGUUUGGAGCGAGAGAGUUACUCAAAGUAGGCGGAAGACUUCCUGGUGCGGGGGGUUCACUCCGCUUUAAGGUGCCUGAAUCCACGCUGAUGGACUGCCGUCGACAGCUAAAGGACAGCAAGCAAAUCUUAUCUAUCACAAAGAACUUUAAAGUUGAGAACAUUGGACCUCUUCCUGUAACCGUGUCAUCUCUGAAAAUUAAUGGUUAUAACUGCCAAGGCUAUGGCUUUGAAGUGCUAGAUUGUCACCAGUUUUCUCUGGAUCCAAACACAUCCCGAGACAUAAGCAUUGUGUUUACCCCCGACUUCACCUCUUCCUGGGUCAUUCGGGAACUGACUCUGGUAACUGCUGCAGACCUGGAAUUUCACUUCACUCUGAACGUGACCCUCCCUCAUCACCUGUUGCCCUUGUGUGCAGAUGUAGUGCCAGGACCCAGCUGGGAAGAGUCAUUCUGGAGGCUCACGGUGUUCUUUGUCAGUCUGUCCCUGUUAGGUGUCAUUUUAAUAGCCUUCCAACAAGCACAGUACAUUCUUGUGGAAUUCAUGAAAACAAGACAGAGACAGAAUUCUAACUCAUCUUCUCAGCAAAACAACAGUCCGAUGGAUGUAAUCAACCCUCAUUCCCACAAAAACAAUUGCAAGAACUUUCUCGACGCCUAUGGCCCCUCUGAUAAAGGCAGGGGGAGAAGCUGUCUUCCAGUGAACACUCCUCAGAGCAGGGUUCAGAACGCAGCAAAGAGGAGUCCAGCUACCUAUGGGCACUCUCAGAAGAAGCAUAAGUGCUCAGUGUACUACAGCAAACACAAAACCAGCUCGUCGCUCACCAGCAGUGCCAGCACGACUACUGAGGAGAAACAGACUUCGCCCCUGGGCAGCUCCUUGUCUGUGCCCAAAGAGGACACGUGUACUGACAUUGUGAGUGAGAACUGGAUAAACCUCAAAUACGCAAGUGGCAUAAAUGUCAACCUGCAAAAGAAUUUAGCCCUUCCCAAAAACUUACUGAACAAAGAAGAAAACACACUGAAAAACACAGUUGUCAAUAAUGCUUCUUCAGAAUGUAAUCUGAAGGAGGGAAUACAGACAUGUAUGUUUCCUAAGGAAACUGACAUUAAAACUUCAGAAACUGUAUCAGAGCUCAAGGAACGCGAGCUCUGUCCUCUGAAGACCUCGAAGAAACUACCUGAAAACCAUUUGCCAAGAAAUUCACCUCAGUACCAGUCAGACUUGCCAGAAAUUUCCAGGAAAAACCAUGGGAGUAGCCAGCAAGUGCCUGUUAAGAAUGAAGCAGACAGUUGUGAAACUUUGAAAAGGCAGAGUGACACAAAGUCUUCCUCAGAGAAGAAGAAUCACAAAGCAUCUAAAGAAGACAUUUGUCCUGAGAAACAGGAUGUGCCUUCAUCAGAGCAAGAAGAUCCUUAUAGGAAGAAGAAGCUGCAGGAGAAAAAGGAAGGAAAUUUACAAAAUUUAAAUUGGAAUAAAAAUCGUACGUGUAGAAAAAACAAGAAAAGGGGUGCUACUCAGGCUUCAAGGCCUUCUGAACAGAGUGAAUUAAAGCUUUGCAGUGAAUUUGAGAGGUCUGAGCUAAGCAGCGACGUGGAGAUAAGAAACUGGUGUCUCCAAGAAAACACUGGGGAGAUUUGUAAGACAGAUGCUGAAAUUGGAAGCUCACCUUCAGCACAGGGAGAGACAGAGAGCUACUACCGGAAGCCGGAGAAGAAAUGUGCGGAGAAGUUCUGCUCAGACUCCAGCUCCGACUGUGGCAGCUCGUCGGGGAGCGUGCGCGCCAGCCGGGGCAGCUGGGGGAGCUGGAGCAGUGCCAGCAGCAAUGACGGGGACAAGAAGCCGCUGGUGGGCCCGCAGCACUGCCUUCCCUCCGGAGACUCUGUUGCCCAAAAUGAUUUUCCUUCUGAAACUCCUAUCGCCUUCAAUCUUUCUCACAGUAUCUGCAAUCCCAUGUAAACGUGAAUACUCUCUCCCAGUAUGCAGAAACUCCCUGUCCCAGCCUCCCCGACGUGCCUUCAGGUGUGGAUGAGGAUAAAGGUCUUUACCCACCUGGAGACCUGUGGCCUACCCAGCCAGUGUGUCUGACAAGCGGCUUAAACUGCAGUCUGGAGAACAGCGUGCCUUGUGUGAUGCGAGAGCCGCCUCCGGUUCAUAAUAGUUUCAUUGAUUGGAGCACAACCUGUGAAGGCCAGUUUCCUAAUGUGUACUGCCCCCUGGAGCUGAAUGAUUACAAUACCUUUCCAGAAGAGAACAUGAAUUACCCCAAUGGCUUCCCCUGUCCUGCAGACGUUCAGACGGAUUAUAUUGAUCAUAACUCACAGUCUACCUGGAACACCCCAGCCAGCAUGCCCACUGCUUGGGGACAUGCCAGCUUCAUCAACUCUCCGCCCUACCUCACAAGCACACGAAGCUUGUCUCCAAUGUCUGGACUGUUUGGUUCCAUCUGGGCCCCACAAAGUGAUGUGUACGAAAACUGCUGCCCCAUCAAUCCCACCACGGAGCACACGACUCACAUGGAAAACCAGGCGGUCAUGUGCAAGGAAUACUAUCCAGGGUUCAACCCCUUCCGUGCCUACAUGAAUCUGGACAUAUGGACUACCACAGCCAACAGGAAUGCCAACUUCCCGCUCUCUAGAGACUCAAGUUACUGUGGGAACGUGUGACAGGAAUUUGGCUUUUAACAAUGUGAAUAAAGAUGCUUGUGUUUUGAUUACUAGUGUGUAAACUGGUUGUUGAGCUAGAUUAUGACAUUGGUGGAUAUUUUGGCACUUUUAUAUGAAAAUAAAUUUUUUUUAAUGAAA